GAUGAACGCUAGCGGGAGGCCUAACACAUGCAAGCCGAGCGGUAGAAUUUCUUCGGAGAUUUGAGAGCGGCGUACGGUGCGUAACACGUGUGCAACCUACCUUUAUCUGGGGGAUAGCCUUUCGAAAGGAAGAUUAAUACCCCACAAUAUAAUGAAUGGCAUCAUUAUUAUUGAAACUACCGGUGGAUAGAGAUGGGCACGCGCAAGAUUAGAUAGUUGGUGAGGUAACGGCUCACCAAGUCAAUGAUCUUUAGGGGCCUGAGAGGGUGAUCCCCACACUGGUACUGAGACACGGACCAGACUCCUACGGGAGGCAGCAGUGAGGAAUAUUGGACAAUGGGUGGAGAGCCUGAUCCAG
RNAcentral lists this ribosomal RNA (358 nucleotides) under uncultured bacterium. RNAcentral describes it as "bacterial SSU rRNA". It matches the Rfam family "Bacterial small subunit ribosomal RNA", at positions 28 to 391 of the family's 1533-position model. The record is from RNAcentral.